Molecule: long non-coding RNA, 760 nt
Organism: Homarus americanus (American lobster)
Lineage: Eukaryota; Metazoa; Arthropoda; Malacostraca; Decapoda; Nephropidae
Exons: 4
Source: RefSeq, a predicted model, not a curated record
GUUACAGGGGAGAGUGUCUCGUCUGGAGAUAAUUCUGGGAGUGAACAACCACAAUCGGCGAGGAAGAUACGGGAGCUGUGUUCAAAGAUAGUGCAGCCAGGUGUAGGCAUCACCUCUCCUUGUUUAUGACACUUUUUGGGAUGGCUGGGUGAUGGCUGUGAGAUUAAUAACUUAUUGGCGUGGAGGUGUAAGAAUAAGGAUUUUCAAGCUUCAGCGGAAGACAGGGGACACAGGUUACGAAGUUUCAAGGACCAACAACACAUCUCGGUAUGACAAGCUAAGACUCGACUAUACAAACUGAUGAAACACCUCUGACCUGUGGGACAGGCUCAUUUGUGAUGCCAUCAACAGCAACUGAUGAAACACCUCUGACCUGUGGGAGGUGAGACUUAUACAGGUAUUCUGUUACUUAACAUCAUGUUGUCUAAUGCUUGUGUUUAUGUACUGUACAGUACUGUAGUAUUUAAAACAUAAAUUACGCUGUGCCCGUAAAUUAUAAAUCCUCUUUAUAUGCCUUUUCUCAAGAAUAUCGGCUAACUUUAUAAUUUAAGCAUUUUAUCGUUCACUUUCCAGAAAAGAAAACAUCCAGUAACAGUAUUCCCAAUCAAAAUUGCUGACCCCUUAUCUUGUGUUUGAGUACAUGGCAUAGAUUUUGUUUAAAUUUCAUACAAAGAUGCUCUUUUAUAUGCUGAUUAAGAAUCUAGAUUAAAAAUACACAAUAGUGUAUUCCUCUGAAAGUGUGCAUUUAUGUAAAUGUUUA